CCUCCUUUUCUUGGCAGGGACCAAGCUUGUGGUCCUGCUCCCUGUAAUGUACAGAGGAAGAGGGAAAGGGCUCUGCCCCUCCUCAUCAGUCUUCGGUGCCGGUGGCUUCCCAUCCUCUGGUUCUAUCCUCAAGCGCCAAGACAUAG
This is a small nucleolar RNA of Callithrix jacchus (white-tufted-ear marmoset), 146 nucleotides long. Lineage: Eukaryota; Metazoa; Chordata; Mammalia; Primates; Cebidae. The record is from Ensembl.